UUGUAAUGGCUCUGCCUCUACUUCAGCUUUGAUGGUGAUUGAUUUCCAUUAGGCAGGAAACAUAUUAUUGUGUUACGCUGUAGAACAAAGCAUCCAGAAAUCUGUGGUUGUGUAUUCCUUAUCUGGGUUACUACUGAUUAGUGCAAAAUGUUCUAGGUUUUUCAUAUACCUAUCAGGAAUGUAUAGGCAUGGCCCUAGUGAAGAUCAAACUGAUCUCUAAAGUCUAGCUGAUGUGUUUUCCUUUUCUAGUUUAGUAGUGUCUUGUCACGUCUAAUAUGAAAUUCUGUGUUGUAAUACGUAGUGAAGGGCACAGAGUUGCAAAUGGUGUUUGUUUUCCUUAUUUUUACCUCUACUGUUUGGAAAAUAGUCUUUUUCUUUGGUACUUUUUUUCGGCGGUAGGAGUUAUGGUUAUCGAGCUUGUUCAGGAAUGCAAUCUACUAAUCUACGUACUUCCCUUAAAAAUCUAUUCUGUAUUAGUGCUUUUUUUUUUCUUUUUCCCUUUGGAGGUUGAUCAGUCUUCCUAAUACUUGUUUAAACGUGAGAAUGUGAAUUAGCAUCCCAAAACACUAGUGUAAUACACACACAAAAAAAAAAAUGUGCAGUGUGUAUGUACCACUACGUUGAAUAUUUGAACCUAAACUAUGUAGAAGUAUUGAAGGAUACUUUUGUUCAAUGAUUGAAAAAAUACCCUGGCAAGCUGUUGUGGUUACAAUAAAAUUUGGUAAAAUGCAAGUUUAGAAGAGAAAAUCUAAUUUCCCAUAAAAUAGUCAUGCGCCAAUCCUCACCAAAUAGUCAGGAUAAUUUUUCUUUUCUUGUGGCAAAGCACUUGCCUUAUUCACCUUCAAAGACUACGCAAAGACAAACAACACAUUUUAUUUGUUAGAUUCUCUUUUGGCAAAAGGCUUGCCUUUUCACCCUUACAGACUUCACAAAGACAAACAAGACAACCUAAUUGUUAGAUUCUCACAUCGGAGUGGGAUGGAUUAUUUGCCUCUUUAUAUUAUUUUGGACUCAAUGGACAAUCCUCACCUCGUGAGCUAGCUUCAAUGGACAAUCCUCACCUCGUGAGCCAGCUUAGAGAUUGAGUUAAGCUCAAGGUUCAUUUCUUAAACCAAAUAAUCCAUGUACUUUUAGGCCAAAUACGGUGUGAUCUUAGAUUUGGGUGUCCACAACUAUAAGCCUUCAGUUAUAACUUUCCACAGCAUAAAUUUAGAAGUGAUUGCUGAAACAGACAAAAUUCAUAUGAAGAAAGAAAGCUGAAACUGUGAUCAUAUCAUUGUAGCAGCCAGAAAAUAUAAGAAAACUAACAGUCAUCGAAAUAACUGAAAAUACUCUUCUGUAAGAGAAAGAUUGCUCCAUUCUCAAACAGAGAAGCCCACUGCAUUGUUUACACAUAUACAAUAUAUUCCCUGCCUAUAUGCAGAUGAAUGUUUCAACCUUUACAUCUGCAUCAAGAAUCAAAAACUUUGAACAAGUGAAUGAGAGUUCUGGAGAUACCAUUCUAUAGCAAGCACCAGAAACUACCGAUCGAAAAAUAUGAAUUCUUACUAGCUCUGGCCUCUGCCUCCUUGUUCUACAUCCACAAUUCCGGGACUAGAAGGAUUAACCCUUCUAUCCCUACUCAAGAGCCUUUUCAAAGACCUCAAUCUUGUGGACAUUAUUGGAGAUUUCUGUUCAUCUUCUGCUUCAUUUGUCUGGUUAGGAAUAUCAAUUACCAAUGCUACACAACGCCUAUCACUCGUAGAGGCAAAUGACGACGACAAUGAUGAUGGUGGUGGUGGUGGUGGAGGACAAGGCGCGUGAGAAGAAGAAGAAUUAGGACCUUGUAAAGAGUCCUCCAAACUGCUCACUUGAGUCUCAUUUCCCCAAAACAAGAUAUUAGUUGGGAAAUUUGCCACCUCUAUAGAAACUGAAUUCUCUUCUUCCACAGCAGAGGUGGGAUUCUGAUCAUCAGAAGAUAUAUUGGAAACAGGAUUUCUACAAAGAGGGCAAGUGGAAUGAGAUUGAAACCACAUAUCAAUACAAUCCACAUGAAAUCCAUGAUUACAUUUAGGUAAAAGUCUUGCCUUUUCACCUUCAGAUACAUCACAAAGACAAACAGCACAUUCUAAUCCAUCUUUGAAUUCUUUAGGAUUGAAUAAAACUACGGGAAUAGUUUUUAGGAGUGUGGGGUCCAGGCCCCGGCGGAGAGCGGAUGUAACAUUAUUCACUUCUUGAUGAUGACUGGCCGAAGAAAAGUUGAAGCCGCGCCGCCGCCGUGUGCUGGCGUUAGGGUUGCCACCGUCUACUUGACGGCGGCGGUUCCAGAACCAUUUUGAGUAAAGGUGGAAUAAGAAAACGAAGACUAUCACAAGUAAGAUAAGUACAAUAGCUACCACCAUUAUCUUUCCAGUGAGCUCAAACAUACCUGACUCGUCUAUUUUACCAGGGGUGUGUGAAGCAUCUUCCAUUUUCAGACAACUAUUUUAAGAACCAGAAACAAGAACAAACUGGGAUUUUUCGCCGGUGCUGCUACAAGCAACAAAGGGCGAAAAAGGAAUAAUGGAAGAUUAUUAAGUUUUAAUUAGGAUCUGACAACUGAAAUUAAAACCUAAAGAAAUAUUAUCAAGGCAAAUAAAACCCAAGUGUCAGAGUUAUAAGAAAUGAAGCAGAAUUUUGGGUUUUAAGAAUAAACCCAGAAAGGAAAUUUCUCGUAUUGUCUAUAAACUUUCUGAGAAUGAAAACUAAGUAGGAAAAAGUUGUGAAAGAACACAGUAGAAAGGGAAAAGAUGAUGGAAGAUUUAGCUGUAGUUGGCAUAUAAAAUGGGAGCUGGGACUAGAGAUGCUACGACCUAUUACUUGAGGUGUGAAGAUUGAAGAAGAUAAAAGUUUGGUCUUAAGAAGGAGACAAACGGCAGAAUUAGGAAAUAGAAGAAAGUGUGUAGAUUCUUUAGGAAAAUGACAGUGGAAGGGAUAUUUAGGAAAGAGGAGUCAAUGAGGAAAAUGGUCAGGGAAAGACUCUCACCAAAGGCUGCUGCGGCGUCUAGAAUGAGUAGUACUAUAAUGUAGAAUAGAUGAAACGACGAACAAGAUUUCAAACUUCAAACAAACAAGUACCCUCUAACACUUUCCUUUAUCACUUCAACAAUUACCGGGGAAGCUUCUGCUCUGACCAUGGUUUAAUGGCGAAGUACAAUGAGUUUUUUUCGAGAGUUAAAAUAAGUUUUUUUUAAUCCCAAUUUUUUCAUAUGCAUUUUAUAUAUUUUGAAUUGGUAACUAUUAUUACUUAAUAUGCAUUUGACUUUUGAAAUUCGACUCCGCCGUAUAAAUUGGGACAUAUGAAAUACUAGGUUCGGCCGAACUCCUAUCUUACCCACUAGAUUCGUCUUAAAAUUUCAAAGUGACAACAUGUAUUAGUGAAAAAAAGGCAUGACACGUGGACUAUUAACGAGGUGACAGGGCAUGGUAUGUGGACUAUCAAUAAAAUGACAAGUAAGGGUCUUAAUUAGAUGAGUUAAAGAAUGCGGAAAAGGCACGGUAAGAAUACCUACGGGGUUACACUGAGAAAAGAGCCGGACCUGACAGCUGUAAAAGGGAAAACGGGAACGAAAUGAAUAAAGGCUGUCAAAAAGGAAAGAUAUACGAUCCUGUCAUAAAUAAAGAAGAGAAAUCAAUACGGUUACAAGAAAUCUUUAGCCAUAAAUAUUUCCGUUACAAUUGUAUAUGGUAACGGACAAUCAAGGCAAUUAAUAUCAUUAGUGAGCCCGAAUUAAGUAAGGGAAUCGUUAUAAUUGUAUGCUCCUAUAUAAGGACUGAAACCUCAUUUGUAAUGAUAUUAGAUAAUUAUUGAAAUUUAUGUAAUCAUUCUUUACUUUAUUCUCAAGGUUCUAACUGUAAUUUUGGGAGUGAUUAUUAAUCUGUUUCAUAUUUUUUUUGUCAAUUAUUUCCAUUCCUUGAUUUAUUCUUUAAAUUAUUGGGAAAGUGAAGUAAAUCUUGGUUAUCAGUAACCCGAUUUCUUCUAGAUAUUGACUUUGAUCGAGAAAUCUAUUUUUGGGUUAAACGCAACAACCAUUAGCUAAAAGAGAAGUUGUGUCGAGAUUCUCUCAGGGAUGGUUUGGUACAAUAGUGGGAUAAAUCAGGAUUCUUAAUAGGAUUACAUAUCCCAUGUUUAUAUGGGAUAAUUUAUUCCAACAUUUUAAUGUAAAAUUUAUCCCGAAAUUAGCUAAUAUCUAUAAUCAAAUAUGAGAUGAAUACUAUUUUAAAUUUUAUCCUUGGAUUAUUAUCUUUAUCCCUUGCACCAAAUGACCCCUUAAGACUUAUGUACAAUGGCGGACCCACGUGGUGGCUAGCGGGUUCAGUUGAACUCGCUUCACCAAAAAAUAAUACUGUAUAUAUGUAUAAAUUAGGAUUAAAACUGUGUAAAUUUUGUAUAAAUAUUUUAUUUGAACCCACUUGACAACUAUCAUUUUACGACUAAAAUUAUGUACUUUUAAGAUUGAACCCGCUUGCACAAAAUCCUUAGUCUGACACUGCAUAUGUAACCAAUAAAAUUAGGGAGCCUAGGGUUCGUUUACUUAUUUAAAAGUAUUAACAGUAAUUUUAUAUUGGAAUUUUGAUAUAAUUUUAUACAACAUUCAAUGGUAGAAGAAAGAUAACAAUUCAAGGAUUAAUUAAUUGAUAAGAAUAAGACUAGUAAAAUGGUACGAUUGCUCUUCAGCCAAUAGUCUUAUCUGCAUUCGUUCUUAAGAUUAAAAUUAAAACUUAAAUUUAUUUAAUUUAAAAUCAAAGACAUACUUUAAGUUGUACAUUGCAUAUCUUAUUUUAAUAUCAUUCACCAAACAAAUCAUAAGUACAACUUAUUAUUUAUUGAUCCAACCAAACAACCCCAUAAGGAAUGAGUAGUGGAGGUUGAGGAUGCCACGCCCGUAGGCAGUGAACCCCAGUAGUGAGUUGAAUAUUCAAAACUCAAAAGGCUUCGUCGAAACAAAAAAAAUUCAUUUCUAUUAAUGCUUAUGAGUUAUAUAUGUCUCUUUUUCCGUGGUCUAAAAUUUCAUUGAGAAUGGUACUCUUAUUUUUAGAUUAUUAUCUAAAAGUUGUAAGUUAUGCAGCUAUAAAUUAUGUAAUAUUAGUUCAACGCAAAGACGUCUCAAUAAAAUCCGUGGCCUAAAACCAAACUUUAAUUAAGGGCCUUGAUUUUUUUUUUUUAUCUAUAGUAUAGUUAUCUUGUAAAAUAUAGUAUGUAAUAUUGCAUUGGUUCCUUUUUUUCUUUCUUUCUUUUUGUCUAUAGUAUAGUUAUCUUAUAAAAUAUAAUAUUAAUAUUCACAUUGAUAAGAAAAUUUAAGUUAAUAAGAUGUUAGCCACGUAUUUACAAUUGGUUACGUUUGAUCUUAUUGUAAAAUAAUGUUAUUUAUCAAUAUGAAGAUUUGAGUAUCUUAAUUCAAAGUUCUAAAUAUUUUUCUAUUUGUUAAAAAAUAGAUAGUCUUUCUUUAUAAGGAUUUAGUAUUUUUGUUUUCUUUUUUCUAUAAACUUCAAUAUUGUUUAAACAACAAUAAGAUAGUAAAUCCACGACUAAAAAUAUUUUUGGGACCCCAAUAUUUAGGGGGCCUAAAGCAAAAGCUUUACUAGCCUCCCCUCGAGCCACCCCUGGUUCAAUGAGAUGUAUUGACUCUUCUAGAAAAGAAAUACUGGCUUGUUACCUGAACGAUGAACCUCAUUAAUUUCUUUUGCCAAAAUGUCACAGAGUUUGAACGUUUUUUUGACCAAAAGGAGAAUUAUCUGACUCAAGGACUUUUUUUUUUUUUCAAUUUGGUUGGAGCAAAAGCUAGGCAAUCCAGCCCCCUAAAGAUUAAUUUAUGAAUUAUUGUGUGUUAUCUAACUUCGCUCUAUCAGAUAGUUAGAACAGCUUUACUAUAACUAUAUAAGUUAUUUUCCCUACUUCAACAAUGGUUGCACGAUAAGAGACCUCAUUCUAUAAUUGUUAAGUUUGAAUACCUAAAAUAAACAUUUCAGUAUUUUAAAUUCGAUAUGUAUAUGUUGUUGGUGAUUAGUUAAUAGUGAAUCUUCCUAUAAUUGUUAAGUGUGUGUUGUUUUCUUUUGGUUUUUCCUUAUAGCGAUGAAGUAUGGGCAUUGGUGGAUUCGGCACCAAACUAACGUUAUGUGUGCCAUGAUUUGUGAAGCGGAGAAAGUCAAAAAGAAUCCUUGGCCAUUCCGAGAUUUCAGCGUAUUAAUAUGAUUGCUAUUAAAUUAGUACUAUUUGUUAGCACAAGAGUUAUGGACAACAUGAUGUUUGCCAAUUUAUUUUUCCUCCUAACUCCAAACCCACUCAUCUCUUCCCUAAGCCUGCUCCUAUUCCUAUUCUAGGCUUUCUACUCUUUUCUUUUCCUUUCAUUUCUUUUCUUCAACAAAAAGAUCAUUUCCAGCACAUGCAUGCAUAGGGCGUAUCUAGCCUUAUCGUAUCGGGUUUAUUUGAACCUAGUACAAUGCUUUUGAUGCGGAUCAUAAUUUAUGUGUAAAAAUUCAUUAAUAUUAUAAUAAAUAGUAGCUAUUAAUUUAUAACUUAUAACAUGUUCAAUGUUAAAAUACUCAGAUAUUGAACCCAUAGGGGUCGUUUAGUGUACGGGAUAAGGUGGUACUAAAUUUAUACCAUGUUUGAUUGACUGUAUAAAUUUAUCCCGGAAUAAAUUUAUAUCGUUAAUCAAAGACUUAAUCCUGAAUAUUCAUUUUAUCUCAUCUUAUCUCAUUAAACUUGGUAUUAUUUUAUCCCACUUUUCAAGUGGGAUAAAUUAGUGUAGGGAUUAUAAUCCUGCGAUUAUAAUCCCGAAAUAAAUUAGUCCGCGUACCAAAUGACCUCUAUCCAUAGAGUUUAAAUCUCGAAUCCAUGUGUGCUUGCAUAAAGUGAUCUGAAGUUUGUUGCUUACUCUCAUGGGUGUUUAAUAACAACUGUUUAGUGAUGGAGACUGAAACAAAAUUGACGAGUUUUAUUGUUUUAUUUAUGGUCUGUCCCUAUUGCAAAGGCAGCAAAUAUGCACAUGGAAUAGACCCAAUAGAUAUUAAUUUGUGAUCAUUAUUCUUGGCUGUUACGUUACUGUUCCUCAAUAACUCACUCUUCAUUCUUCUAUCAACCACUCUGGAUAUACAUAAUCCAAGCUUUCUUGAGCUCAAGCCAUUCGAAUUAAAUUUUUGGAUUCAGCAUGGUAAAAAUCAACUAUACAAAAAGUUGUAGAAUUCUCUCUUUAAAUUAUGUUGUUUUAAGUGUUUCGGAUGGGCUUAGUCUAGUUUCUUAAUAACUUACGAACAACAAUUUAAGUUAAUUAAUGGUCCAGGCAGCUUGUGAGAGUGUACAACCACAAAAAUGUUGUAUAAAUCUACAAAGUUGUAGCAGAUGGACUCACAUUGAAUAUUGUACUGAAUAUCCUAAGCUAAAAUCUUAAUGUUGUUAUUUUUAUGAAUCAACAACUGUGUCAUCCCCUUGGCCGUCUCUAAGAUAAACAUUAAGCAUGAUCUUUUUCUAACCUUCUACACAUCUUUAGCUUUUUGAUUGCAAGUGGAUUUGUAACUUAGCAAACAUAAUUAUUUACUUGGGCCGAGUAUGGACGUCCCCUUCUCUAUAUACUGUAUAUCAAACUUAAGUAACCAGAUUUUCUAAAGUUUAUUUACCAAAGGUAACUAUAUAUAUUCUUUACGAUUUAUAUACAUUCCAUUAAGGGAUUCAGUUAAGCACCUUCAAUUCACGGAUUAGCGCCUUAAAUUAAGGAAUUCAAUUACACUCUUUUUUUUUAUUUUCCCUUUUGCUGUAUUUUUCAUUCCAGAUUUGCCUAACAAAAGAAAGGCCGCCAGAGUAAUUUUCUUGCCAAACUCAGAGUUCUCAGAGCAUUUUUACGACCAAAUUUGAAGGUUUUUUUACCGUCUUAUUCUUUUAUUUUUUGUCAUUGCUCAAGAAGAAAAGAAGAUCAUUUGAGGUUUCUUGUAAUCGAAGCUUGAAAUCGUUGGCUUCGAUUCGAGUUUGAUGAAAUUAGUUGAAUUAGGCACUGAAUUUGCUGAUUCAGGACUCGACGUUGAAAAUUCGGUUCGAAAGUGAAAGAAUUCAACCUCAAAAUCGAAAGAAACCAGCUUCAUACUGGCGACUAUGGAAUUUGCAACAAAUGGAUAAAUGGCAACAACUCGAUAAAAUUGUUGCUAUAGAAUAGAUUUUUUGGCAACAAAAUUUUCUUGUUGGCAAACAUGUUAAUUUUGUUGCCAUAUGCUAUGAUUUAGAUAAUAAAUUUUAAAUUUUAAAAAUGGCAUCAACCUUCUAGCAACAACUAUAGUAUUGUUGCCGAAUUUUAAUAAAUGGCAACAACUAAUUUUAGUUGUUGCAAAAAUUAGAAUUUUUAACAUAAUAAAAUUAAAUUAUAAAGAGAAUUGGCAACAAUAAAAAUUUUUGUUGGCAAUGCACGUUAAAUUGCCAAUGAGAUGCGUGGGCUGUGGCAUAAAUUUUUUCAAUUUUCCGCCAAAAUUAAACGCGGCAAACCUUUCGCCUUUUAAUUACUUUUCUCGGACUUGUAGCCACGGGCGGCCCAAGAAAAUUGGUGGCCUAAAGCCAAUUUUUAAUUUGGGGCCUUUCAGAAGGAAAAAAAUUUAUCAUAAUAUCGAUGAUUCAUUCCGAUAUUUCUACACAUAGAACAACAUAAUUUAGCGCAAUUGUCGCACAAUAACUCACUUAAACCAAUAAAAUAUAGGGCGAGUAAUGUGCUAAAAGUAUAGAAUUUUGGCCUAACAUAAGUUGUUAAUAGUUUCUUUUAUAAAUAAUUUAGUCUCUCCUAAGAUAUUGUUGAUCUUAGAUAAUAUAACCAAAUUCAUAUAGAUACCUCACUAAUGAUGUCACUCGUAAAAUUUAAAUAAUAAAAAAGUUUUAUAUUCGCGACAAGGGUUUAGGAGGAGUGAUUCUCUUUCUGUAUUUUUUGCUCAAACGGUUACAUCACUACUAAAUUAAAAGUUAUCUUGACUACCCUAAAAAUUGUUGUGAGAUGUAUUUGAUCCAACUUACCUUAAUUAAAUAUAUUGAGUUCGAGUCCUGCGGUUAAAAAAAAUUCUGUUAAAACGUGUUCUCUCUUUUACUAGGUCUUACGCGGUACGAAUCUAGAUUAGUCGGGGUUUCAAUACAAAUACGAGUACAAAAAUAAAAGAAAGAUUUGGGGCCCUCAAAAUUUGGAGGCCUAAAGCCUUUGCUUUAGUGGCUUGACCCUUGGGCCGCCCCUGCUUGUAGCUCACUCUCUAGUAACCAUUCUUGCUAGGGUUUUUCUUAUCAGUUCUACUUGAAAGAGCCCUUCCCCUGCUGCGUCCUCCUUGUUGCGUCAUGUUGCUGCUGAUCGGAGAAGAACCAGUAAGAACUUUAUCUUCAAUUUCUUUACCCGGUUGCUUCUUCACUAAAUUAUGAAAAAUCAAUUUCUGUGAUUGUCUUUUAUUAGUGAAGUACUUAAUUGGGUAUAAGUAUCUUAAAUUCUUGGUUGAAUACAUACGCCGCCUCUUAAACUUGUCCGAAUUUUUCAUUUAAACACUCGAACUAAAAGAGAAAAAGAGAAAUCGCUUGAUUUUGGGCCUUUAAAAAAUUGUAGACUAAAGUCAUAUACAGAGAGUGUCUUAUACUUUGGAGAGAAAAAAUUAGAAGAAAAUAAAGAAUGCAGAUAUAAUGUGAUUUUGUGGUGUUAUGCAAAAUCGCCAAAUUGAGAUAUUAUGGCCAUAACAUGCUAUGCUUUCUGUGCUCGUUUAUGUGAUAUACACAACUGUGGAUGCUAAAAAUUUUACAAGUUAAAUAGAAAUACAUCAAUAGGCUAUAACUAUUUUAUUUUGUGAACAGUCCCCCUACCUUUACAAAUUACAAUUGUGCACUGUAGCAGGAAAGAUCACUACAACAGAGAAAGAGCAUAGUUUUGCUUAAUAGUUUGAUAAAGAAAAAAAUUGGAGUGCCUUGAAAGCUACUUGAAAUUGUUAUUUGUCCUCGUCCUGGUACUGAAAAAUUGAUUAGUCAGGCCCUGAAAUUUGGGCCACUACAAAUCUAACAACCAUAUAUAGUACAUGGUAGGAUUUCUAUAGUAGGUAGUUAGCUCUCUUCUUUUAUGUUAUAUGGUGUUGGUUCUUAUUUGAUGAUUUCUUAGCAUUAGCUUGGUUAUAAGAACUUUUUUAUAUCAUUCAUUGCUGCCCAAAUUUUUUUUUUUUGAUAUGUACUUGUUUACUUUAUAGUUUUCUUUUAUAAAAAAUAUAAUUAUAAUUUAUCUUUUUUAGUAGGAUGAGGAUGAGUAAAGCAACAUAGCUAACAAUAUGGUUCAUCUAAAGAUCAGGCUAUUAGAAGAAGAUUUACUUUUUGGGUUGUUAUUAGAUUAGAAAUAAUGACCUGUAGAUGCUUUUUUUUAAAAGUAAGAACAUGUGUUUUAGUAGUACUUAGUUUUUUAAAGUAUGUAAAUACUUAGUGCAUCAGUUGUAUUGACCUUUGCAAAUAUAUAUAUCAUGUAUUAAUUUAUAUAUAUUUGUGAUAUUUUAAAAGAAAAUGUGAAUUGUGUAUGUAACAACUAUUUUGUGUGCAGACGAGGACUAUAAAUAUGAUGGAUAUUAAUUGAAUAUGAUAAUAAGUGUAUGAGGUGUAUUUGAAGUAAUAUAGGGCAUAAGGAGAGCCCUUGGAACAAAUCAAGUUUGAAAUUACAUGAUAGACUAAAGUUCCAAAUGAGUAUACACAAGACCUAACUUUGAAUGAGCAUAUCUAUAUAUAUAUAUAUAUAUAUAUAUAUAUAUAAAGCGUUAUGCAAUGUACAACCUAUAAAAUAAAAAAUUUUCGAGUCUAGUUUUCUAUUUUCUAACUCUUCAAACUGUUUUUCAUUUGGAUAUUCCUACAAGAAGUUAAGACCAAAUUACCAAAGGCUGGCAGAGGAGUGAACUGGGGAUGCGAAGCAUCCGGAGCCGCGUCCGAAAGAAAGGCUGGCAGUGAAGUACAGCCAUAGCAUCCGGGUCCGCAUCCGAGCUUCAAAGAGGAGUGAACUGGGGAUGCGAAACAUUCGGGGCCGUCCAAAACCCAGAAAUCUAGGCCUAUAAAUACAAAAUCGGGAAAAUAUAGUAUUUUGUGUAUUGGGGGUUAGGGUUCUUGAGGCGAAGAGGUAAUUUUGAGCUCAAAUUAAGUCCAAUCAACAAAGGUAAGUUGUUAAUGAUAUUUUGGGUUAAUGUUUAUCAAUAUACAUGAGUUCUAACAUCAUUUUUACAUCCAAAUACUAGAUUUCAUCGUCAAAUCCUCAAGAACACAAAUAUUACCAAAGUUGUAAUUUUUCAAGAUUGAUUUACUAGAGGUAAAAUUAACCAAUGCUUCAACUCGUUUAUUAUGAGUAGUUAGAAGUAUUUGAAGUAUUUGUUACAAGUUUUAAUGGUUGAAAGAUUGGAUUAAGAAACUCUAGUUCAUUGAAUGAAUAGUACUUUUGAGAAAAUAAGAGAAAAGAUGAAUGGUAAUCUUGGCGAUACAAUUCAAGAAUACAAUGAACCUAUGCAAUUAUUUGUUAGCAAAAGAUGGAAGUGAUCAACUAAGUAAUCACCUGAAUUGUACAUUUUGCAAAUGUUCAUUAUGAAAGAUGAUGAAUAGUAACUUGGUGGCAUUAGACAAUUGAUGUAGUAUCAUUAAUGACUUUGAAUGGGUAUUUGUCACGACCUAAAAAUCUCACCCGUCGUGAUGACGCCUAUCACGAUACUAGGCAAGCCGACAACAGCAAUAACCCACAAUUUUUUUUAAAUACUGAAAACAUAACAAUUAAUUUAAGGGGAAAUCUCCCACCAACACUGAAUAUAAAUUUACUCCCAAAAUCCGGUGUCACUAAGUACAUGAGCAUCUAUACAUUACAAGUUUGGUAAACCCGGUCUAUAAUAAUCCGAGACUAAAUACAAUAAACAAGGGAUAAGGAAGGAGAGACAAGGUCUGCGAAACAUAGCAGUUACCUCUGAAUCUCUGGAAAAUCAACUGUGUGAAAGAAUCAACACCCACUGUAUCCGAGAUCACCUAGAUCUGCACACGAAGUAGAGGGUGUAGUAUGGUGUAACGACCCGACUUGUUGCUUUAAGAAUUAAUGCCCCGUGCAGUGACUUAAGGUCUCGAGCAACUUUAUAAUAAGUAUUUUGACCCGCGGGUGUGGUCGAGUUUGAUUUUUCGGAAGAUUCGGAAUUAAUCAAAAGAAACAAUCCUUAAUUUGAAGCUUAAAUGGAAAGAGUUGACCGGAGAGUUGACUUUUGAGCAAAUGACUCCGGAAUAAAAUUUUGAUGAUGUCAAUAGCUCCGUAUGGUGAUUUUGGACUUAGGAGCGUGUCCGUAAAAUUAUUUGGUGGUCCGUAGUGGAAUUAAGCUUGAAACGCCAAAAGUUGAAUUUUUGAGAAGUUUGACUGGGGGGUUGACUUUUUGAUAUCGAGGUCGAAAUCCAAUUUUGGAAAUUUGAAUAGGUCUGUUAUGUCAUUUAUGACUUGUGUACCAAAUUUGAAGUCAUUCCGAAUUGAUUUGAUGUGUUUCGGCACAAGAUAUAGAAUUUGAAAGUUCAAAGUUCAUAGAUUUAGAUUUGAGAUGCGAUUCGUCGUUUUGAUAUUGUCUGAUAUGAUUUAAGAAUUUGACUAAGUUUGUAUGAUAUUUUAGGACUUGAUGAUAUAUUUGGUUGAGGUCCUGGGAGUUCUCGGGUGAGUUCGGAUACCUAACGGAUCGAAUUUGAAUUUGGAGGAGGAGCUGAAGCAGCUAGGCAUCUGGUAUGAUCGCACCUGCGCGAAAAAGGGCCGCAGGUGCGAGCUCGCGGAUGCGAGGAAUUAGUCGCAGAAGCGGAAAUGCAUAGGCUGGCCAGGCACCGCGGGUGCGAAAAAUAUUACCGCGGGUGCGAAGCCGCAGGUGAGAAGAAUUCACCUCGGGUGCGAAAACCCUGGGCAAUACAAAAACAUAGGGGUUCCGAGGUUUUGCCAUUUUUGUGCAUUUCAAGCUCGGAUUGGGCGAUUUUUGAGCAAGGUUUUCAUGGGAAAACUUGAGGUAAGUCCCUUGUGAUCAUUUCUACUUUAUAAUAUUGAAUUAUCAUCGAAUAAUCCGAUUAGAUUACAUAUUUUUUAGGUGUAAAUCGGGGGUUUGAACUUAGGAAUUUGAAAACGAAAAUUUAAUAGUUGGAGGUCGAGUUGUUAUUGGAAUUUGAUAAAAUUGGUAUUGUUGAACUCGUAUCGGAAUGGGUGUUCGGAUUUCAUGAAAAUUUUGUUGGGUUCCGAGGGGCGGGCCUCGCGUUGACUUUUAGGAAUAAAUUUUUAAGUCUGCGUAUUAUUAUCCGGAAUUAUUUUCGAUGAAUUUUAAUGAAGUUAUACAAUUAAUUUGGUUAGAUUUGAGCGGUCCGGAGUUCAAUUCAAGCAAGAAGACGAUUUUGGAAUAUCGGCAUAACUUCAAAAAGGUAAGUGUCUUACUUACCCUCGAGUGGGGGAAUUACCCCUUAGGCAUCGAGUCUUAUGUGCCAUUUGUGAAAUGUGAAAAGCCGUAUACGCGAGGUGACGAGUACGUACUUGGGCUUAUACGUGCAAAAUUUUAUUGGAUUAAAGUCUUAGGCAUUAUUGUGUAGUAAAUUGGGUAAUCGUGGAUAAUUAUUAAAUCAUUUGUUUGUCAUGCCUAAAUUCUUGUUGUUGAAUUUAUUUUUAUAUGAUAAUUUGAUGAAAUUAUUACUUGUAUAUUUAUGUGAAUUCCGUGAGUUUGAUGGUUAAUAUUUAUUGGAAUUUAAUUUCAUUAUGGAUUUUCCCUCUUCAAAUAAUUAAUUAAGCAAGGUUAAGAAGAAGUGUUAAUAUAAUUAUCUAAAUUUACAUUAAUGAAGGCUUUGCUUUUUGUUGAGUAAUUUAUAUCUCUAUUGAUUAUUUUUGGGUGUUAUAUACAUUGUGUGGAGCCUUGGGCUAUUUGUUGUGAAAUUAAUUAAUUUUAUUAUAUCUUUGAAAAUUGGUUGUGUCCAUUGGACAAAUUGUGAUAUGAAUUGAUUUUAUUAUGUUGUCGUGAUAAUUUUUCGUGUAAAUUGUUGUGUUGUGUGAGUUAUUAUUUUGGGGAUAUAAGGGUAGCAUUUCACCGUUGAUAUUAUGUGGGUAUAAGGGUGGCAUUUCACUGUUGUUGUGUUUGUUGGAUUAUUGUCUGGGCGGAGCGAUAAGGGUGGUAAUAGGGGCGAUAAGUGUGGCUAUUGAUAUUGUCUGGACGGAGCGAUAAGGGUGGUUGUAGGAGUGAUAAGGGUGGCAAUAGGAGCGAUAAGGGUGGCUAUUGUCAGGGACGAUAUGUGAUGAUGUGUGGUGGUGGUGUUGAUGAUUUUCAUGUGAUGUUGUGAUUUUUUUGUGUUUAUUUUUAUACCUUGUGCAAUUUGUCUUGUUGUUAGUAAAUUGAUAACAAUCUGAUUUAUGUUGAAAUUGAAAGCAUGUGGUUAUUGCCAGCGGAUUAUAAAAUGAAAUGUGGGUACGAGGUGCCGUGAGUAAAUAAUGAGGAUAUUUGGCACGUGAAUUGUCCGUGCAGUUGUGAUAUUAAAUAUGGGCACGAGGUGUUGUGAUGAAAUGAUAAUGAUAUUUGGCAUGUGAAUUGUCCAUGCAGUUUUUAUAUGAAAUGAGGGCACGAGGUGUCGGAGAAAUAUGAUGAUUUAAUUAUGGGCACGAGGUGCCGUGAAAAUAUGAAAAAUGGGCUGAGACCCGUAUUUACGAAAAAUAUGAAAAUGGGAUAAGACCCGUAUUUUUAUGAUUUUGAAACGAGGUGUCACAUGGUGACUCUUUAAUCGAAAGAAUUAUAUUCAAAAUAUUUAUUUGAAAGGAUUUUUAUUCGAGAAGAAUUAUAUGAAUGAAUUGUAUUUGAAAGAUAUUUAUUCGACGAAAUUAUAUUUGAAAAAGAGUUUUAUUCGUAAGAAUUAUAUGUGAAAGAUAUUUAAUUGAAGAACUUGAUUUAACUGGGUAUAAUUGUAUCUAUUAAUUAUUAAGCGAUAUUAAAUGGUGAUUUUAUUGUCUUACUGUGCAUAUCAUUUGUUGUUUUAUGUUGCCUUGAUGUUAUUUGUUUCCUAUUAUUUUGUAUAUUAUAUUGCACAAGUUAUUAGACUAGUGAGUGUCUUGACUGUACCUCGUCUCUACUCCAUUGAGGUUAGUCUUGAUACUUACUAGGUACCGACCGUGGUGUACUUAUACUACACUCCUGCACAUUUUUGUGCAGAGCCAGGUAUUGAAGAUAUCGGACUUAAGCAGAGUUAAAGNNNNNNNNNNNNNNNNNNNNNNNNNAAUUUGUAGUCAAACAGUAUUGCAUAUUCGGUCCUCAUGAUCAUUCCAUGUAUUCAGUUAGAGUUCGUGGCUCAGUACUACCAGUCUUGGGAGGUUAUAUAUUGUAAUUAUUUUCGCUGUUAGUUUCUAUAAAAACAAAUGGCUACAAAAUAUAACUGAAAUCGGUUUACCUAGCCUUAGAGACUAGGUGCCAUCACGACGCCUAUGGUGGAAUUUUUGGGUCGUGACAUAUGGGUACAACCAACUCAUUAAGUAACAAUAAUAAAUAAAGAAGUGAAAGUAGUGACGAGCUUCUCAGCUUAGUCCAAAUACAGUACUUUCCAACAUAAAAGGAUAUGCAUGCUCUCAAGUUCAACAUUUAAAAUUUCACAUAAAUUUUAUAUCAAAUUUGACAGACAAAAAAAAAA
Molecule: long non-coding RNA, 15622 nt
Filed under: Nicotiana tabacum (common tobacco)
Lineage: Eukaryota; Viridiplantae; Streptophyta; Magnoliopsida; Solanales; Solanaceae
Description: long non-coding RNA (NTAB_LNC001435)
Source: RNAcentral